RNAcentral lists this ribosomal RNA (497 nucleotides) under uncultured bacterium. RNAcentral describes it as "partial 16S ribosomal RNA". It matches the Rfam family "Bacterial small subunit ribosomal RNA", at positions 28 to 507 of the family's 1533-position model. The record is from RNAcentral.
GAUGAACGCUGGCGGCGUGCCUAAUACAUGCAAGUCGAGCGAACAGACGAGGAGCUUGCUCCUCUGACGUUAGCGGCGGACGGGUGAGUAACACGUGGAUAACCUACCUAUAAGACUGGGAUAACUUCGGGAAACCGGAGCUAAUACCGGAUAAUAUAUUGAACCGCAUGGUUCAAUAGUGAAAUACGGUUUUGCUGUCACUUAUAGAUGGAUCCGCGCCGCAUUAGCUAGUUGGUAAGGUAACGGCUUACCAAGGCAACGAUGCGUAGCCGACCUGAGAGGGUGAUCGGCCACACUGGAACUGAGACACGGUCCAGACUCCUACGGGAGGCCGCAGUAGGGAAUCUUCGGCAAUGGGCGAAAGCCUGACGGAGCAACGCCGCGUGAGUGAUGAAGGUCUUCGGAUCGUAAAACUCUGUUAUUAGGGAAGAACAAAUGUGUAAGUAACUAUGCACGUCUUGACGGUACCUAAUCAGAAAGCCACGGCUAACUACGUG